This 232-nucleotide signal recognition particle RNA is filed under the name human gut metagenome. Its description in RNAcentral is "Bacterial large signal recognition particle RNA". It matches the Rfam family "Bacterial large signal recognition particle RNA", at positions 2 to 227 of the family's 256-position model. From Rfam's summary of the family: The signal recognition particle (SRP) is a universally conserved ribonucleoprotein involved in the co-translational targeting of proteins to membranes. Archaeal SRP consists of a 7S RNA and homologues of the eukaryotic SRP19 and SRP54 proteins. RNAcentral also lists the same sequence under 1 other name. The record is from RNAcentral.
CGCACUAACCGGGGAGUUAGCGGUGCCCUGUACCUGCAAUCCGCUAUAGCAGGGGUGAAUGCUUCCGCGCGGCUGUCGUUCUGUAUAGCUGGUGUUUGUAAGUGGUGAUGAGAUUUUGGUCCUGUGCAACGUUUGGCUGUGAACCUCGUCAGGUCGGGAACGAAGCAGCGAUAAGCAGUUUUUUGCGUGUGCCGCGGGGUUGCUGAAGUUGAGCUAACUGCAAAAGUGCCGU